UUAGCUCAUAUUUGUAUGGAAUGGGAUCGUUUGCCUGCGUUUGCCGCCAGGGGCGCUGUUCCAACUGCAUACAAAAUUGGGUUA
Molecule: microRNA precursor, 84 nt
Filed under: Bombyx mori (domestic silkworm)
Lineage: Eukaryota; Metazoa; Arthropoda; Insecta; Lepidoptera; Bombycidae
Description: mir-2807 microRNA precursor family
Rfam family: mir-2807 microRNA precursor family
Source: Rfam by way of RNAcentral